RNAcentral lists this ribosomal RNA (350 nucleotides) under uncultured Oscillospira sp. RNAcentral describes it as "bacterial SSU rRNA". It matches the Rfam family "Bacterial small subunit ribosomal RNA", at positions 8 to 339 of the family's 1533-position model. Lineage: Bacteria; Bacillati; Bacillota; Clostridia; Eubacteriales; Oscillospiraceae. The record is from RNAcentral.
AGAGUUUGAUCCGUGGCUCGAGGACGAACGCUGGCGGCGUGCUUAACACAUGCAAGUCGAACGAGAAUCUGUGGAAGGAGUUUUCGGACAACGGAAGCAGAGGAAAGUGGCGGACGGGUGAGUAACGCGUGAGGAACCUGCCUUGGAGAGGGGGACAACAGCUGGAAACGACCGCUAAUACCGCAUGAAGCAUCGGGGUCGCAUGGCCUUGAUGUUAAAGAUUUAUCGCUGAAAGAUGGGCUCGCGUCUGAUUAGAUAGUUGGCGGGGUAACGGCCCACCAAGUCGACGAUCAGUAGCCGGACUGAGAGGUUGAACGGCCACAUUGGGACUGAGAUACGGCCCAGACUCC